RNAcentral lists this ribosomal RNA (460 nucleotides) under Penicillium sp. FL-2010ai. Its description in RNAcentral is "eukaryotic LSU rRNA". The stretch from base 132 to 284 matches the Rfam family "5.8S ribosomal RNA". Lineage: Eukaryota; Fungi; Ascomycota; Eurotiomycetes; Eurotiales; Aspergillaceae. The record is from RNAcentral.
UACCUUGUUGCUUCGGCGGGCCCGCCUUAACUGGCCGCCGGGGGGCUCACGCCCCCGGGCCCGCGCCCGCCGAAGACACCCUCGAACUCUGUCUGAAGAUUGAAGUCUGAGUGAAAAUAUAAAUUAUUUAAAACUUUCAACAACGGAUCUCUUGGUUCCGGCAUCGAUGAAGAACGCAGCGAAAUGCGAUACGUAAUGUGAAUUGCAAAUUCAGUGAAUCAUCGAGUCUUUGAACGCACAUUGCGCCCCCUGGUAUUCCGGGGGGCAUGCCUGUCCGAGCGUCAUUGCUGCCCUCAAGCCCGGCUUGUGUGUUGGGCCCCGUCCUCCGAUUUCCGGGGGACGAGCCCGAAAGGCAGCGGCGGCACCGCGUCCGGUCCUCGAGCGUAUGGGGCUUUGUCACCCGCUCUGUAGGCCCGGCCGGCGCUUGCCGAUCAACCCAAAUUUUUAUCCAGGUUGACCU